UACAAUAGACGUGACCGAGAAUCUGGAACAAUUUAAAGCGUAAAACUGGCCUACCGCCUACCUCCACAGUUACUCAAUAAUUAAAAUUUAAAGUUAAGCCUAUCAUCUACUCGUAUCAAUCCAUUGAACACAUGAUCUGAACAGCUUUACUUGAACUUCUAGUUUGGGGAUGAAUUUGAAAGCAGGAACUACAAAAAUAGAAACUACACUUGAUAAGUAGGUGGCUAGUACUGGGUACAAACCUGCUGCGCCAAUUUCGGAUUUCGGAUCGUGUCAGAUCUUACCGAUUAUUACACCAUGCAUGCCUUUAUCCCAGACCAUACAAUCAUGUUUUACAACGCUGCGUUUCUAGUUACAACAUUUAAAACGAAGAGGCUAGACACAAGCAAAAAACUCAAACCGACACUGUACAAGAGUAGCUAGCUAGUAGCGCUAAAAAACUAAUCAAGCAAACAGAUUGUUAAGUCAUUCGGUAGUGCGAGUAGUUGAUGUUCUGGAACAUUAGUUUUGUUUUGCGUUAUUUGCGUACCAUCGCGAUUUAAUCACGGCUUGCGGCAGUUGUAUUCUUUGCAGAAGGGAAGAAGGAGCCGAGGAGAGCUCGGAACUUGUUGACUCGCUUCCGGUGGCGAAUGCGGCGGAGGACGGCUUCCUUGGUCAGUGUACCCGGUGCAUCAUUGGGAUCGCGCUUCAAAUGCAAUUGACUGCUCACAAUUAUAUUAAGCUCGUCUUCAUCAUCAUCAUUCUUAUCUUCCUCAUUUGAUGGAGGAUUUGUUGAAAUUAUCCGAGACAUGAAUCAGGUAGUGUUAUGUAUGUUUUAUAUAAUUAGUGCAGUGUCCGCAUCAUUAUAUAGAUAAAUAACCUUACUGAAUCUUCGUAUGUGCACACAUUUUUGUUUAACUUUCUAUGUACAUGAUACACGAUGCAGUACUUUGACGUUGUG
RNAcentral lists this long non-coding RNA (940 nucleotides) under Daucus carota (carrot). Its description in RNAcentral is "long non-coding RNA (DCAR_LNC004471)". Lineage: Eukaryota; Viridiplantae; Streptophyta; Magnoliopsida; Apiales; Apiaceae. The record is from RNAcentral.